This is an RNA transcript of Phragmites australis (common reed), 1782 nucleotides long. It is a transcript of the gene named putative heat stress transcription factor A-6a, with no coding region annotated. The record is from RefSeq and is a predicted model, not a curated record. NCBI's taxonomy places the organism in Eukaryota, Viridiplantae, Streptophyta, Magnoliopsida, Poales, Poaceae. The transcript is spliced from 3 exons.
CGUGUCUCCCGCCAAAACACCAACCCACCCACCUGACCUACCCGCACAACCACAACCGAACUCGAUCGUCGUCACACCUGCCAGCCCUCUCCCGGAUGGAGAACCCCGCUGUAAAGGUCAAGCGGGAGGAGGAGGUGGUGGUGGUGGUGCUGGACGCCGACGGCGAUGAGCAUUUGCCCGGAGGCGCGGCGCCGGCGCCGGUGCCUUUGCAGAUGGCGUUGGCGUCUGAGGCUGCGCCGUUCGUGUCCAAGACGUUCGAGUUGGUGGAGGACCCGGCGACGGACGGCGUGGUGUCGUGGGGCGCGGCGUGGAACAGCUUCGUGGUGUGGGACCCGCACACCUUCGCCGCGCGGCUCCUCCCGCGCCGCUUCAAGCACGCCAACUUCUCCACCUUCCUCCGACAGCUCAACACCUACGGAUUUCGCAAGGUGAGCCCGGACAGGUGGGAGUUCGCGCACGCCGACUUCCUCGCCGGGCAGCGCCACCUCAUCGCCAACAUCCGCCGCCGCCGCGGGGUUGGGGGCACCUCGGCGCCGCCGUCGUCCGGUGCGGCCGGCGGCGGCAGCGGCCGUGAGGGGGAGGUGGAGAGACUGCGUCAGGACCGGGAGGCGCUGGGGCGGGAGCUGGCGCGGCUGCGGCGCGGGCAGCAGGAGGCCCGCGCGCAGCUGCAGGACAUGGAGCGCCGCGUGCGGGGCACCGAGCGGCGGCAGGAGCAGUGCACGGCCUUCCUCGCGCGCGCCGUCCGGAACCCGGCCUUCCUGGACGGCCUACUGGAGCGCCGCGGUGCGCCCGUCGAGGCCGGCAAGAAGCGGCGGCUUCUCGACGCCGCGACCACGCCCGACGUGGCGGAGGUCCUGGCCUUCGAAGAGCUCGCCCUGGCGGCGAGCGCCGAGGUCGAGGCGGCUUCCAUCCAGGCCGUGAAGGCGGCCCAGAGCGCGGGCGCCACCACCACGGACAUGAUAUGGUACAAGCUGCUGGGGGAGAAGCAGUCGGAGAUGGACGUGGAGGUGGAGGAGCUCGUCGCAGCCGCCGCCGCCGAGCCGUGGGAGGAGAUUGGCGAGGAGGAGGUGCAGGAGCUGGUGCAGCAGAUUGACCUCCUGGGAUCCCCCACCUCUUAUUGAUCACCACCAGGUGUCCAGACGUGCAGCUGCAAUGGUACUCGAUCACUGCUUAAGCAGACAGCAGCUACCUAUAAGCAAUCCAUUCUGCCGAUGUCACUUGCAAUGGCAGGCAGAACGACAUGAUCAGUUUAUCAUGGUGGUUACUGUGGUACAGUACCACAGUGUGCCUUUCGUAAUGGGCAUGCGUGCGAUGUGUGUUAGUAUCUAUCAGUAGCCUUCCUAUCUGAUUGUGAUUAGACUGAUUCGUACGAGUGACUGUUAAUCACUACGCCUGUAAACUGUCUGGCUAAUUCGGAUUCUACAUCUGUUCUUGUAGGAUCCGACGGUGGUGGUAUGUCGCAACCCAAGGUGUGGACACUGGGCAGGUUCGUGGAUGCAGCCUGCUUCAAGUGGUUGAUGUACUGUAAGGUUAUGUUCAAACGGGCUCGUCUGGAUUCGUGGUGAGCGAAAAUCCAUUCAUUUCAGAGAUGAGCUGUGCAGGACUCAUAACCCGGGGGACAAAGGCAGAUAGACACAUCAGCUGAGUGUACAACACUUCAAUUCGUUCAGAAACAACAACACUUCAACAGUUGUCAAACAAUAUUUACACAAGUUCCCAGGACAACAAAAUACAGCUAUUUGUCAGCGCUUUACAUCAUCAUGGAGUCCUUGUCGUUAAAUU